UACAGAGGUGGCAAGCGUUGUUCGGAAUUACUGGGCGUAAAGGGCGCGUAGGCGGCCUUCUAAGUCAGACGUGAAAUCCCCCGGCUUAACCUGGGAACUGCGUCUGAUACUGGGAGGCUUGAGUAUGGGAGAGGGAUGUAGAAUUCCAGGUGUAGCGGUGGAAUGCGUAGAUAUCGGGAGGAACACCAGUGGCGAAGGCGGUUGCCUGGAGCUUUGCUGACGCUGAUGCGCGAAAGCGUGGGGAGCGAUCCGG
RNAcentral lists this ribosomal RNA (253 nucleotides) under uncultured bacterium. Its description in RNAcentral is "partial 16S ribosomal RNA". It matches the Rfam family "Bacterial small subunit ribosomal RNA", at positions 524 to 776 of the family's 1533-position model. The record is from RNAcentral.